CAAGGGUCAAGAAAACAUUUUUGUUUAUCUGGGAGCCAAAAAGGCUUUGUCACUGACAUGAUGACUGCGAAGCAAGUAAUUAAAGUUCAACAUCAAAUGAACCAGUUUAUGUAAGCGACAUAGCACCUAUGGUGAAGGACCAGGCACUGUCCCCUCAUCCAUAUGGCUUAGACUGGGAGCAACACCUCGCUGACAUCCAGUCGCUGACACUACAUCACAAUGAUGUUAUUAUUUGCGCCUAUCCUAAAGCAGGUACACACUGGCUGUGGGAGGUGUGUCACAUGCUGCACCAGGGGGAUGUACAGUACGUAACCCGCUCCAAAGAACACCUGAUGAUGGAGUUUGUCUCUAAGGACACACUCGCAAAAGAGGACCCCCGCGCAUCUUCAAUACACAUCUUUAUUUCUCCUUACUUGUAACCGAACAAAUAAAACAGAAAAAGGUCAAGCUGGUCCACGUUUACCGCAAUCCUAAAGAUACGGUGGUGUCCAUGUUCUUCCAUUACAGACAGAAACCGGGUUACCCACAGGACUUGAGAGAGUUUGUCCAACUAUUUCUGAGAGGCGAAGUGUCGUUUGGGGACUAUGUGAGGUACCUGCAGCAGAUGGAGACAUUCAUGAAGGAAAACCCUGACCACCCUGUUGUGAACGUGUCUUUUGAGGAAACCAAGCGAGAUCCAGUGGGUGUGGUCAGGCGCCUGGCUGAGUUGAUGCAAGUGGACGCGAGCGAGAAGCUGUGCGAGGACAUUGCAGUGGCCUGUAGCUUCCAGAAGAUGAAGAUGGUGGACGAUACGCUUAAAAACAUUUGGAGACUCCUGUCUUCACAUUUAACCUGAAACUAUACAGAAAAGGGGAAGUUGGAGACUGGAAAAACUACCUGACUGUGGCGGAGAGCGAGAUGAUCGACAAAUAUAUUGCGGAAGGACUGAAAGACUGCACUCUCUUCAAACUUGAGUAUGAGUAGAGCAACACAAUGACCAGAAGGGAGGUCACUGUGAUGAGCAGUCAAGGUGCGAGAAAUCAUGAAGCUACAAAGACAACAAAGAUCCGGAGCUGUAUUCCAAGAAAAUAUUUUAAUCCUUUGUAAAUGUCGAUAAUCAAUAAAAAUCUGAAUGAAAUGUGUUUUUAUGAAGGAAUCAUGCUGCUCCUGCUGCAGCUGAUGAAGAUGAAUAUUAUUGAGAAAUAUUUCGCAUAAAUAUUUCGUGUGCUAUUGAAGUAGAUAUUUCAUUAAUAAAAAUAUUGCACACGUGGAAA
RNAcentral lists this long non-coding RNA (1253 nucleotides) under Pomacea canaliculata. Its description in RNAcentral is "uncharacterized LOC112563207, transcript variant X2". The record is from RNAcentral. Lineage: Eukaryota; Metazoa; Mollusca; Gastropoda; Architaenioglossa; Ampullariidae.